CGUAGGGUGCGAGCGUUGUCCGGAAUUACUGGGCGUAAAGAGCUCGUAGGUGGUUUGUCGCGUUGUUCGUGAAAACUCACAGCUUAACUGUGGGCGUGCGGGCGAUACGGGCAGACUGGAGUACUGCAGGGGAGACUGGAAUUCCUGGUGUAGCGGUGGAAUGCGCAGAUAUCAGGAGGAACACCGGUGGCGAAGGCGGGUCUCUGGGCAGCAACUGACGCUGAGGAGCGAAAGCGUGGGGAGCGAACAGGAUUAGAUACCCUGGUAGUCCACGCCGUAAACGGUGGGUACUAGGUGUGGGUUUCCUUCCUUGGGAUCCGUGCCGUAGCUAACGCAUUAAGUACCCCGCCUGGGGAGUACGGCCGCAAGGCUAAAACUCAAAGGAAUUGACGGGGGCCCGCACAAGCGGCGGAGCAUGUGGAUUAAUUCGAUGCAACGCGAAGAACCUUACCUGGGUUUGACAUGCACAGGACGCCGG
Molecule: ribosomal RNA, 478 nt
Filed under: uncultured bacterium
Lineage: Bacteria
Description: bacterial SSU rRNA
Rfam family: Bacterial small subunit ribosomal RNA
Source: RNAcentral